AGAAAAUGGUCUUCAUCUUCAAAUGUUGAAAUAAAGAUAAAUUGUAAUAAAAAGGCAUUGACAUCAGUAAUAAAGGUAUCUGUCAUAGAACACAGUUAUGAUUAUUCUCUUUUUGAAAAAUAAAAAAACGUUAUGUUAUUUCAUAAAAUAGUAUUUACCUCUUGAAGUCUUUCUAUAAUAGUUCUGUAAUCGGGUUUUGAAGAACCCCACGGACGCCACAUUUUUUACUCUCAAAUAUCUUUCAAGGUAUAAUAAUAGUAUGUACACUCUUGUGUUAAUAGGAAAUGAAAUCUCAGAAGC
RNAcentral lists this long non-coding RNA (300 nucleotides) under Mytilus galloprovincialis (Mediterranean mussel). Lineage: Eukaryota; Metazoa; Mollusca; Bivalvia; Mytilida; Mytilidae. The record is from RNAcentral.